RNAcentral lists this long non-coding RNA (3490 nucleotides) under Mytilus galloprovincialis (Mediterranean mussel). The record is from RNAcentral. Lineage: Eukaryota; Metazoa; Mollusca; Bivalvia; Mytilida; Mytilidae.
ACUUCAUAUUGUACAAGGUAGGUUGAAAAGCAAACAGAUUUAUGUUCGAUGGUAGUUUUGUGAUGAUUUGAGGUCAAUAAACAAUAAAAAUAUUUCAGAAAAUCUGUUGAAAAAAAAGGGUUUUUUUAAGGGACGCUGAAGAUAAGUCAUAUAUUUAAUUUUAUAUAUAUAUAUAAAAAAAAAGAACACCAUAUACCUAAAUGUACUUUUCUUGAUAACAUUCUUGAACAGUAAGUUAUGUUUGCGUCAAACCGUGUCCAUGUUUGGUGCGUUGAAGUACGUCUCUUAUUUUGGUGUUGAUUGUGUGAUGGUUGUUCUUUAUCUAUUUUAAGCUGGUAUGUUUUAAAACAUCAGACAUGUAAAUCAGUAUUUCUUUGUAAUACAUACAGCACUGCAGACUUGUUUGGCCCGGUAUAAAUUUCAUAAAUUACACAUUGCAUGGAGGUCGUCUAGAUCUGGAGUAUCGAUAUAAUUAAAUGCUCUAUAGUGUUUUUAAUGAUCUUUAGUAUGUGUUUAACUGUAUUAUGUAAUCUUCCACUGACUGAAACAUAAAAGGAACUGUAAAUUUACAGCAAAACCUAUUAAUACUUUGAGUUGACAGUCUUUAGUUUUUUUGUAAUGUUUUGUAGAAUGAUUGUCUUUCGUUUUAUUUUAUUUUGUUAUUUGGCAUCAUUUUGUAGAGGUUUCUAUCAGUAUUGAGUUUUGAUUCCUUUUGAUAUCAUUUGGCUUUUUAUAAUUUUAUCAGCUCGUUGUAUCUUUUACUGUAACAGAUGCAAAAACUUGGAUAUGUCAGUUGGUGUCGAACUUGCUUUAUUAAGGUUCUAUUUUGUCAUUUAUAGCUAAUGAUAGAAAGUUAGUUAUCUUCAAAGUGUUUUUAAAACUUUUCUUAAGUACUCGAAAGCCCUGUGUUGUAGAUCAUAUCCAAAUUUUGUAGGUCCUUUUUUUAGAAUUUGUCUUUUUGGUAGACUGUCGUUGUAAGAGUCUUGUCAUGCCAUGCACGGUACGCUACAUAAUUUUUUUUAUAAACUUUUACGCGCAUACAUACACUUAGUCUUAUUCUUACUUAUAAAUGAAACAAACAAGUUGAACAUCCUUUUUCUAUUGUAUAAUAGCAAACGUUACAUUAAAGGCAAUUCACAAAAAAAUUCAUAAAUUACUUUUACUGGACAAAACAAUUUAUUAUAGACACUAAUAAACACUAUGUAUAUAACAAUGUCUGUUUUAUUACAGAUGAAUACAUUGACAUUUGGCCUGAUUCUAUUGGUAGUAGUAGUGACUGUUCAGUCUAGGAUUCCAGGAAUAAGUAAUUGUAUAUUAUUACAUAUGCAAAGUGAUGUGAAAUAUGUAUAUAUGUAUUGGUUCCCAUGAUGAUCGUGGCUAUUGAAUCUAGUCCAGCAGAAUGAUAUACGUCAUACGCACAUUUCGUCUAUAAAAGAAUCAUCAGUGACGUUCGAAUCAAAUUAAUAGAAUGAAUGAAAAUUGACAUAGAAAAAAAUAUCCCUAUUUUCGGCGUCAAGAGCUUUAAAAGAUAAGUGAUGACACCAUUUCAAACACAUUUAAAAGCCAAAAGAUUAUAGUAACCUUAAAAAAAUCUUUACUUAUAAUUUAAUUCUAUCUAUUUUCUCCAAACGAGUAAAUUGACAAGUCAAGGUAAAAAAAAAUCAAACUAAGUGAGUCACGGAAAUUUCAAAAGAAGCAAAACCGGAUUUGUUAAAUGUGUUAGCGUAUCCUGUUACGCAUUCAUAACCCGAACGGCAAAUUCUCUUUCAGUAAAAAUGACACAAUCAAUGACAUUACAGAUAAGAUGUCUUUACUGGAAUCUUGAUAUCUAGUCGGCGAAAAUAUGUCGUCAGUGGUUCGAGACAUCGACACAUUGUGUCGAUCGAGCAACAUUUACCAUUUGUUGGGUGACCGUUAAAUAAAAAAAAUCGAAUUCAGUGGUUCAUCUUUAUUACUCUGUAAAGAACAUGCACUUAACUUUUUAUAAGGGCUUUAUAGUAUAAACAUAAACGAGUAUAACGCAUUUUCAGAGGUAUAUGUAAACGCAAAACAAUAGGUAUGUUCAUGUUACUGUAGAAAAUGAAAAGUUAAAAUCAUUAUUAUUUUUUAUUUCUUUCUAUGUGACGUUUACAUUUUAUGACGUCAAACAUAUAUAUAUAUAUAUAUUUAUAAUAAUAUUUGUUCAAUAGUAAAUGGUUGUACCGGGUGCAGCGUAAAAGGGGUAUGCUAUUUCCCCAAUCAAGAGUGGAAACAAGGAUGUUGGACGAAGAAAUGUUCCGUUUAUUCCAACGGCCCCGUACAAGGAUGGAAAACACUAAUUGUAAAAACCCGUACGUAUAUUUUUUUUUAAAUCGAAUAAGAUUAGAUUGACAGAUUGUUAUUACUUUUAUACAUAUAUUUGAUUUGAACAUUGCAUUGUUUUCUUAUUGUGCCUUAAUGGUGUUUUGUCAAAUCUGCUAAAUCCAUGUUUUGAAACUAUCAAAAAUACUUUUAUUGUUUCGUACGUAAAUAUGGGAUAACAUUUGUUAAUGUUUAAACUGAGUAGUCUCGGCAUUUAAGACAUGGACAUAUUUCUAUUUUUGUCAGUAUAACAAGUGAAAUACCACCAAAUCAUAGUACGUCACAUCAGGUUGCAUACGAAAAUAGGUCGAAAAAAAUAUUCCUUUGAGUUUGACAGUUGUAGGUAAUAAAUCCUACAUUUCAAUGCAGUAAAACAUUUCUGGAUUAUUAACAUAUAUCUUGAGUAUUUCAAAGCCCCCUUAUUUUUUUUAUUUGAGGUUUCUAUUUGGGAUAUUUUGGAAACUUGAGCUAGUAGAUAGAUUAGGAAGAUGUGGUGUGAGUGCCAAUGAGACAACUCUCCAUCCAAUAACAAUUUAAAAGUAAACAUUAAUAGGUCAAUGUAACGGCCUACAACACGGGCCUUGGCUCACACCGAACAACAGCUAUAAAGGGCCCCCAAAUUACUAGUGUAAAACCAUUCAACGGGAAAACCAACGGUACUAAUCUAUAUAAAAAAAAUGGUUACUAAAGCUAAAGUUUCUCUAUUUCAAACAACGAUAAAGUCUGCACAUUAUUUUGAAAAGUUGAAAUUUAACUAAGACUAAUAGGGGACAAUAAAUUAUAGUGGUAUUACGUCUUAUAUUAUAUAACAGCCAGUCAAUAUAUUCUUUGAGGGAACCAAGCUUUUAACGUAGUACACAAGACUAAACAGGAUAAAACAAAAAUAUUGGAUAAAUAUAAUAGAUACGUAACGCUCAAUACAAAGCAAAAAUAUAAACUAGGUGAGUCUGAUGCGUAGAUAUACUAAAUAUAGUUAUAUAUCCUUGACUAUCAAAAGCAUAUUGAAAUAAAAUCAAAUUCGAAUUGCCCAUUGUAAGUUCAUAUGAUAAUUGUAUGUUUCUCUUGUAGAGUGUCCGGAUACAUAUGGUAGAUGUAUAGAUCCAGGUCAAAAGAGUUCUACAGGGUGUACAUGUAAUGUGGUCGGAAUGCA